Molecule: ribosomal RNA, 465 nt
Filed under: Vreelandella stevensii
Lineage: Bacteria; Pseudomonadati; Pseudomonadota; Gammaproteobacteria; Oceanospirillales; Halomonadaceae
Description: partial 16S ribosomal RNA
Rfam family: Bacterial small subunit ribosomal RNA
Source: RNAcentral
CCUACGGGCGGCAGCAGUGGGGAAUAUUGGACAAUGGGGGCAACCCUGAUCCAGCCAUGCCGCGUGUGUGAAGAAGGCCCUCGGGUUGUAAAGCACUUUCAGUGAGGAAGAACGCCUGGUGGUUAAUACCCAUCAGGAAAGACAUCACUCACAGAAGAAGCACCGGCUAACUCCGUGCCAGCAGCCGCGGUAAUACGGAGGGUGCGAGCGUUAAUCGGAAUUACUGGGCGUAAAGCGCGCGUAGGUGGCUUGAUAAGCCGGUUGUGAAAGCCCCGGGCUCAACCUGGGAACGGCAUCCGGAACUGUCAAGCUAGAGUGCAGGAGAGGAAGGUAGAAUUCCCGGUGUAGCGGUGAAAUGCGUAGAGAUCGGGAGGAAUACCAGUGGCGAAGGCGGCCUUCUGGACUGACACUGACACUGAGGUGCGAAAGCGUGGGUAGCAAAGAGGAUUAGAUACCCGAGUAGUC